This 377-nucleotide transfer-messenger RNA is filed under the name Paracoccaceae bacterium. Its description in RNAcentral is "Rhodobacteraceae bacterium transfer-messenger RNA". It matches the Rfam family "Alphaproteobacteria transfer-messenger RNA". From Rfam's summary of the family: Bacterial tmRNA, also known as 10Sa RNA or SsrA, is named for its dual tRNA and mRNA-like properties. The record is from RNAcentral. Lineage: Bacteria; Pseudomonadati; Pseudomonadota; Alphaproteobacteria; Rhodobacterales; Paracoccaceae.
CCCCUUUUCAUGGGCGGGGCGGGGGGCUAUAUAAGCUCUGUCUCCCAUCCGGGGGACUAUGGCGAUAAACGCGCACGUAAUAAGCGGCUCGGACCCGGGGGCGGUACCCGGCGGCUCCACCAAUCUCCCUGCCAUCGGUCAUUGACGAUGGGGUUCGGGGAAGCGAGGGGCCGAAACAGGAUCGACGGACGUCUAAAGGUGUUAGCUUUCGCUCGGCAGGAUGCCACCGUUACCGGCUCAAAUUGUACAGUUGCCAAUGACAACCGUGCUCCGGUGGCCGUCGCUGCGUAACGCAGCUUAAACCACCGAACUUCAAGUCCCUGGGCUUAGCCGUUCAGGGCGGGGCUCGCAGGCGCCUGGCAACAGAAGCCUGCACU